UACGUAGGGGGCGAGCGUUGUCCGGAUUUAUUGGGCGUAAAGAGCGUGUAGGCGGCCAGGUAGGUCUGCUGUGAAAACUCGGGGCUCAACCCCGAGCCUGCUUUCGAUACGGGCGGACUAGAGGUAGGUAGGGGAGAACGGAAUUCCUGGUGUAGCGGUGGAAUGCGCAGAUAUCAGGAGGAACACCGGUGGCGAAGGCGGUUCUCUGGGCCUUACCUGACGCUGAGGAGCGAAAGCGUGGGGAGCGAACAGG
Molecule: ribosomal RNA, 253 nt
Filed under: uncultured bacterium
Lineage: Bacteria
Description: partial 16S ribosomal RNA
Rfam family: Bacterial small subunit ribosomal RNA
Source: RNAcentral